UCUGCCUUAUCGGCAAGCGGUCCCAUUAGAGUGCCCAACUUAAUGCUGGCAACUAAUGGCAAGGGUUGCGCUCGUUGCGGGACUUAACCCAACAUCUCACGACACGAGCUGACGACAGCCAUGCAGCACCUGUAUCGACGUCCCUUGCGGGAACUCCUACUUUCAUAGGAUAGCGUCGUAUGUCAAGCCCAGGUGAGGUUCUUCGCGUUGCCUCGAAUUAAACCACAUACUCCACCGCUUGUGCGGGCCCCCGUCAAUUUCUUUGAGUUUUAACCUUGCGGCCGUAAUCCCCAGGCGGGUCACUUAACGCGUUAGCUACGACACCGGAAGGGUAAGUUCUCCCGACAUCUAGUGACCAUCGUUUACAGCGUGGACUAC
This 378-nucleotide unclassified non-coding RNA is filed under the name uncultured delta proteobacterium. RNAcentral's name for it is "contains 16S-23S intergenic spacer region". The record is from RNAcentral. Lineage: Bacteria; Deltaproteobacteria.